Molecule: ribosomal RNA, 402 nt
Filed under: uncultured bacterium
Lineage: Bacteria
Description: bacterial SSU rRNA
Rfam family: Bacterial small subunit ribosomal RNA
Source: RNAcentral
UGGGGAAUCUUGCACAAUGGGGGCAACCCUGAUGCAGCGACGCCGCGUGAGCGAUGAAGCCCUUCGGGGCGUAAAGCUCUUUCGACCGGAACGAUAAUGACGGUACCGGGAGAAGAAGCUGCGGCUAACUACGUGCCAGCAGCCGCGGUAAUACGUAGGCAGCAAGCGUUGUUCGGAGUUACUGGGCGUAAAGAGUGCGUAGGCGGUUUUCUAAGUUCGGUGUGAAAUCUCCCGGCUUAACUGGGAGGGUGCGCCGAAGACUGGGAAGCUGGAGUGUGGGAAAGGCAGGCGGAAUUCCUGGUGUAGCGGUGAAAUGCGUAGAUAUCAGGAGGAACACCGGCGGUGUAGACGGCUUGCUAGACCAUAACUGACGCUGGGGCACGAAAGCGUGGGUAGCAAACA